RNAcentral lists this ribosomal RNA (164 nucleotides) under uncultured bacterium. RNAcentral's name for it is "partial 16S rRNA". It matches the Rfam family "Bacterial small subunit ribosomal RNA", at positions 355 to 511 of the family's 1533-position model. The record is from RNAcentral.
UAGGGAAUCUUCCACAAUGGACGAAAGUCUGAUGGAGCAACGCCGCGUGAGUGAAGAAGGUUUUCGGAUCGUAAAGCUCUGUUGUUGGUGAAGAAGGNUAGAGGCAGUAACUGGUCUUUAUUUGACGGUAAUCAACCAGAAAGUCACGGCUAACUACGUGCCAG